This 885-nucleotide ribosomal RNA is filed under the name Lactarius deterrimus. RNAcentral's name for it is "eukaryotic LSU rRNA". It matches the Rfam family "Eukaryotic large subunit ribosomal RNA", at positions 72 to 936 of the family's 3401-position model. The record is from RNAcentral. Lineage: Eukaryota; Fungi; Basidiomycota; Agaricomycetes; Russulales; Russulaceae.
GGAUUCCCCUAGUAACUGCGAGUGAAGCGGGAAAAGCUCAAAUUUAAAAUCUGGCGGUCUUUGGCCGUCCGAGUUGUAAUUUAGAGAAGCGUCUUCCGCGCCGGACCGUGCACAAGUCUCCUGGAAUGGAGCGUCAUAGAGGGUGAGAAUCCCGUCUUUGGCACGGAUGCCUGUGCUUCUGUGAUGCGCUCUCAAAGAGUCGAGUUGUUUGGGAAUGCAGCUCAAAAUGGGUGGUGAACUCCAUCUAAAGCUAAAUAUUGGCGAGAGACCGAUAGCGAACAAGUACCGUGAGGGAAAGAUGAAAAGCACUUUGGAAAGAGAGUGAAACAGUACGUGAAAUUGUUGAAAGGGAAACGCUUGAAGUCAGUCGCGUCGACCGAGACUCAGCCUUGCCUUGGCUUGGUGUACUUCUCGGCCCGACGGGUCAGCAUCAAUUUUGCCCCUCGGAUAAUGACAAGGGAAAGGUGGCACCUUUGCGGGUGUGUUAUAGUCUCCUGUCGCAUGCGAGGGGUGGGAUUGAGGAACUCAGCGCGCACCUUGGUGUCGGGGCUUCGGCCCACGUCACGCGCUUAGGAUGCUGGCGUAAUGGCUUUAAACGACCCGUCUUGAAACACGGACCAAGGAGUCCAACACGCCCGCGAGUGUUCGGGUGGAAAACCCGUGCGCGCAAUGAAAGUGAAAGUUGGGACCUCUGUCGUGGAGGGCACCGACGCCCGGACCAGACCUUCUGUGACGGAUCUGCGGUAGAGCGUGUGUGUUGGGACCCGAAAGAUGGUGAACUAUGCCUGAAUAGGGUGAAGCCAGAGGAAACUCUGGUGGAGGCUCGUAVCGAUUCUGACGUGCAAAUCGAUCGUCAAAUUUGGGUAUAGGGGCGAAAGACUAAUC